RNAcentral lists this ribosomal RNA (2923 nucleotides) under Klebsiella pneumoniae. RNAcentral describes it as "23S ribosomal RNA". It matches the Rfam family "Bacterial large subunit ribosomal RNA". The record is from RNAcentral. Lineage: Bacteria; Pseudomonadati; Pseudomonadota; Gammaproteobacteria; Enterobacterales; Enterobacteriaceae.
GGGUUGUGAGGUUAAGUGACUAAGCGUACACGGUGGAUGCCCUGGCAGUCAGAGGCGAUGAAGGACGUGCUAAUCUGCGAAAAGCGUCGGUAAGGUGAUAUGAACCGUUAUAACCGGCGAUGUCCGAAUGGGGAAACCCAGUGCAAUUCGUUGCACUAUCGUUAACUGAAUACAUAGGUUAACGAGGCGAACCGGGGGAACUGAAACAUCUAAGUACCCCGAGGAAAAGAAAUCAACCGAGAUUCCCCCAGUAGCGGCGAGCGAACGGGGAGCAGCCCAGAGUCUGAAUCAGCUUGUGUGUUAGUGGAACGGUCUGGAAAGUCCGACGGUACAGGGUGAUAGUCCCGUACACCAAAAUGCACAGGCUGUGAACUCGAAGAGUAGGGCGGGACACGUGGUAUCCUGUCUGAAUAUGGGGGGACCAUCCUCCAAGGCUAAAUACUCCUGACUGACCGAUAGUGAACCAGUACCGUGAGGGAAAGGCGAAAAGAACCCCGGCGAGGGGAGUGAAAAAGAACCUGAAACCGUGUACGUACAAGCAGUGGGAGCACCUUCGGGUGUGACUGCGUACCUUUUGUAUAAUGGGUCAGCGACUUAUAUUCUGUAGCAAGGUUAACCGUAUAGGGGAGCCGCAGGGAAACCGAGUCUUAACUGGGCGUUAAGUUGCAGGGUAUAGACCCGAAACCCGGUGAUCUAGCCAUGGGCAGGUUGAAGGUUGGGUAACACUAACUGGAGGACCGAACCGACUAAUGUUGAAAAAUUAGCGGAUGACUUGUGGCUGGGGGUGAAAGGCCAAUCAAACCGGGAGAUAGCUGGUUCUCCCCGAAAGCUAUUUAGGUAGCGCCUCGUGAACUCAUCUUCGGGGGUAGAGCACUGUUUCGGCUAGGGGGUCAUCCCGACUUACCAACCCGAUGCAAACUACGAAUACCGAAGAAUGUUAUCACGGGAGACACACGGCGGGUGCUAACGUCCGUCGUGAAGAGGGAAACAACCCAGACCGCCAGCUAAGGUCCCAAAGUCAUGGUUAAGUGGGAAACGAUGUGGGAAGGCACAGACAGCCAGGAUGUUGGCUUAGAAGCAGCCAUCAUUUAAAGAAAGCGUAAUAGCUCACUGGUCGAGUCGGCCUGCGCGGAAGAUGUAACGGGGCUAAACCAUGCACCGAAGCUGCGGCAGCGACACUAUGUGUUGUUGGGUAGGGGAGCGUUCUGUAAGCCUGCGAAGGUGUGCUGUGAGGCAUGCUGGAGGUAUCAGAAGUGCGAAUGCUGACAUAAGUAACGAUAAAGCGGGUGAAAAGCCCGCUCGCCGGAAGACCAAGGGUUCCUGUCCAACGUUAAUCGGGGCAGGGUGAGUCGACCCCUAAGGCGAGGCCGAAAGGCGUAGUCGAUGGGAAACAGGUUAAUAUUCCUGUACUUGGUGUUACUGCGAAGGGGGGACGGAGAAGGCUAUGUUAGCCGGGCGACGGUUGUCCCGGUUUAAGCAUGUAGGCUGAUUAUCCAGGCAAAUCCGGAUAAUCAAGGCUGAGGUGUGAUGACGAGGCACUACGGUGCUGAAGUAACAAAUGCCCUGCUUCCAGGAAAAGCCUCUAAGCAUCAGGUAACAUCAAAUCGUACCCCAAACCGACACAGGUGGUCAGGUAGAGAAUACCAAGGCGCUUGAGAGAACUCGGGUGAAGGAACUAGGCAAAAUGGUGCCGUAACUUCGGGAGAAGGCACGCUGGUGUGUAGGUGAAGUCCCUGCGGAUGGAGCUGAGACCAGUCGAAGAUACCAGCUGGCUGCAACUGUUUAUUAAAAACACAGCACUGUGCAAACACGAAAGUGGACGUAUACGGUGUGACGCCUGCCCGGUGCCGGAAGGUUAAUUGAUGGGGUUAUCCGUAAGGAGAAGCUCUUGAUCGAAGCCCCGGUAAACGGCGGCCGUAACUAUAACGGUCCUAAGGUAGCGAAAUUCCUUGUCGGGUAAGUUCCGACCUGCACGAAUGGCGUAAUGAUGGCCAGGCUGUCUCCACCCGAGACUCAGUGAAAUUGAACUCGCUGUGAAGAUGCAGUGUACCCGCGGCAAGACGGAAAGACCCCGUGAACCUUUACUAUAGCUUGACACUGAACAUUGAGCCUUGAUGUGUAGGAUAGGUGGGAGGCUUUGAAGCGUGGACGCCAGUCUGCGUGGAGCCAACCUUGAAAUACCACCCUUUAAUGUUUGAUGUUCUAACGUUGGCCCCUGACCGGGGUUGCGGACAGUGUCUGGUGGGUAGUUUGACUGGGGCGGUCUCCUCCCAAAGCGUAACGGAGGAGCACGAAGGUUAGCUAAUCCUGGUCGGACAUCAGGAGGUUAGUGCAAUGGCAUAAGCUAGCUUGACUGCGAGCGUGACGGCGCGAGCAGGUGCGAAAGCAGGUCAUAGUGAUCCGGUGGUUCUGAAUGGAAGGGCCAUCGCUCAACGGAUAAAAGGUACUCCGGGGAUAACAGGCUGAUACCGCCCAAGAGUUCAUAUCGACGGCGGUGUUUGGCACCUCGAUGUCGGCUCAUCACAUCCUGGGGCUGAAGUAGGUCCCAAGGGUAUGGCUGUUCGCCAUUUAAAGUGGUACGCGAGCUGGGUUUAGAACGUCGUGAGACAGUUCGGUCCCUAUCUGCCGUGGGCGCUGGAGAAUUGAGGGGGGCUGCUCCUAGUACGAGAGGACCGGAGUGGACGCAUCACUGGUGUUCGGGUUGUCAUGCCAAUGGCACUGCCCGGUAGCUAAAUGCGGAAGAGAUAAGUGCUGAAAGCAUCUAAGCACGAAACUUGCCCCGAGAUGAGUUCUCCCUGAGACUUUAAGUCUCCUGAAGGAACGUUGAAGACGACGACGUUGAUAGGCCGGGUGUGUAAGCGCAGCGAUGCGUUGAGCUAACCGGUACUAAUGAACCGUGAGGCUUAACCUUACAACGCCGAAG